RNAcentral lists this ribosomal RNA (253 nucleotides) under uncultured bacterium. Its description in RNAcentral is "partial 16S ribosomal RNA". It matches the Rfam family "Bacterial small subunit ribosomal RNA", at positions 524 to 776 of the family's 1533-position model. The record is from RNAcentral.
UACGUAGGGGGCAAGCGUUAUCCGGAUUUACUGGGUGUAAAGGGAGCGUAGGCGGCUUGGCAAGUCUGGUGUGAAAGCCCAGGGCUCAACCCUGGGACUGCAUUGGAAACUGUCAGGCUAGAGUGCAGGAGAGGUAAGUGGAAUUCCUAGUGUAGCGGUGAAAUGCGUAGAUAUUAGGAGGAACACCAGUGGCGAAGGCGGCUUACUGGACUGUAACUGACGCUGAGGCUCGAAAGCGUGGGGAGCAAACAGG